GCCUCAUUUUAUAAUUUGAGGUAUUGCCUGCUCAGUGCAAAAGUAAAUAGCCGCAGUAUUUUGACUGUGCGAAGGUAGCAUAAUAAAUUGGCUCAUAAUUGGAGUCUGGGAUGAAUGGCUUGACAAGGGUUUAACUGUCUUAAGUUUAGAGAUUCUGAAAUUAAAUUUUUCGUAAAAAUGCGGAAAUAGAUGAGAGGGACGAGAAGACCCUAUAGAUCUUUGAAUGGGUUAUUGAUUCAAUAGGAAUUGAUGGGCUCAUUUUAUUUGGGGAAAAUCUUGAAAUUCUAAAACUUUGGUUAAAUGAAAAAUGGAAAUGAUUGAUUUUCGAUCCACUAAUAGAGGUGAAAGAAUGAAAAAGUUACCUUAGGGAUAACAGGACAAUGUUUUCUUUGAGAUCUUAUCUGAGAGAGCGUUUGUUACCUCGAUGUUGAAUUAAGUUAUCUUAUUAAAGGAGAGGUUCUUAUUAGUUGGUCUGUUCGACCAUUAAAAAC
This 491-nucleotide ribosomal RNA is filed under the name Auricotes bellus. RNAcentral's name for it is "partial 16S ribosomal RNA". It matches the Rfam family "Bacterial large subunit ribosomal RNA", at positions 1820 to 2595 of the family's 2925-position model. Lineage: Eukaryota; Metazoa; Arthropoda; Insecta; Psocodea; Philopteridae. The record is from RNAcentral.